This 509-nucleotide ribosomal RNA is filed under the name uncultured Desulfobulbus sp. Its description in RNAcentral is "bacterial SSU rRNA". It matches the Rfam family "Bacterial small subunit ribosomal RNA", at positions 903 to 1382 of the family's 1533-position model. The record is from RNAcentral. Lineage: Bacteria; Pseudomonadati; Thermodesulfobacteriota; Desulfobulbia; Desulfobulbales; Desulfobulbaceae.
CGCCUUGCCAGCCCGCUCAGAACUCAAAGGAAUUGACGGGGCCCGCACAAGCGGUGGAGUAUGUGGUUUAAUUCGAUGCAACGCGAAGAACCUUACCUGGUCUUGACAUCCCGGAGACCCUUAGGAAACUAGGGGGUGCUUCCAUCUGGAAGAAUCUGGAGACAGGUGCUGCAUGGCUGUCGUCAGCUCGUGUCGUGAGAUGUUGGGUUAAGUCCCGCAACGAGCGCAACCCUUGCCUUUAGUUGCCAGCAGUUCGGCUGGGCACUCUAAAGGGACUGCCGGUGUUAAACCGGAGGAAGGUGGGGAUGACGUCAAGUCCUCAUGGCCUUUAUGACCAGGGCUACACACGUACUACAAUGGCCGAUACAAAGGGCAGCGACACUGCGAGGUGAAGCCAAUCCCGUAAAAUCGGUCUCAGUCCGGAUUGGAGUCUGCAACUCGACUCCAUGAAGUUGGAAUCGCUAGUAAUCGUGGAUCAGCAUGCCACGGUGAAUACGUUCCCGGGCCUU